This 450-nucleotide ribosomal RNA is filed under the name Triticum aestivum (bread wheat). RNAcentral's name for it is "partial small subunit ribosomal RNA". The record is from RNAcentral. Lineage: Eukaryota; Viridiplantae; Streptophyta; Magnoliopsida; Poales; Poaceae.
AUGAGGCCUCAAAGUGAUUUGAAGAAAAUUUGCCAAAGCCCACCACGACAGUCGAGGCCCAGCCCAGCGCACCAGCCAAGACCGACCGGUUUUCCCCUCCCCUGCUCCUCUCCAUUCCUAUCCUUCUCCCCCUGCCCUGCCCGCCGUCGUCGUCGCCGUGAGCCGUCGCCGCCGCAUCUCCCCCGCUCCGAUUCGUCUGCCCACCAGUCAGCAACCUCCUCCUCGUCGUCGUCGAUGGCAGGGUUCGGCAGCCUGGCGCCCAAGACGAAGAACGUGGUGGUGGCGGGCGGGCUGACGGGGUUCGUCUUCGGGGUGUACUACUACACCACGUGGGCGGUGGGCAGCACCGACGAGCUGCAGGUCACCAUCAACAAGUUUGAGGACCUUAAGAAGAAGGAGGAGGCUGCCGCCUCCGCAGCCGCAAGCACCUCCACCCCGGGAUCCUCAUAA